AAUCAACGCUGGCGGCGUGCCUCAGACAUGCAAGUCGAACGCGAAAGUUUCCUUCGGGAAGCGAGUAGAGUGGCGUCCGGGUGAGUAACACGUAGGUAAUCUACCUUUGGGUGGGGAAUAACAACCGGAAACGGUUGCUAAUACCGCAUAAUGCAGCGGCACCACAUGGUGACAGUUGUUAAAGCGGGGGAUCGCAAGACC
RNAcentral lists this ribosomal RNA (201 nucleotides) under uncultured bacterium. RNAcentral's name for it is "partial 16S ribosomal RNA". It matches the Rfam family "Bacterial small subunit ribosomal RNA", at positions 32 to 214 of the family's 1533-position model. The record is from RNAcentral.